Long non-coding RNA from Rosa chinensis, 1559 nucleotides. RefSeq lists it as uncharacterized. The record is from RefSeq and is a predicted model, not a curated record. Lineage: Eukaryota; Viridiplantae; Streptophyta; Magnoliopsida; Rosales; Rosaceae. The transcript is spliced from 5 exons.
AAACUUAUGAAACUUAAACUUUUUUAUACAACUAUAUUAGGUUACUUGUCACUAUCUUCGUUGUUUUUUAUCAUAUAUGUAGGCAACCUAUUGAGAUUCAGCUAUGUGCAGUUUCUGGGAAGGACUACUAGUUGGGCAGUAACAAGUAUCAAGAUACUUGUUUUCGGCUCUUGUGUCUUGCUAGGAUGUGGUAUCAGCUCCUAGACCGAGUUGCCCUCCUAUUAGGAGAAUAACAACUACAAGAGAUGAGGAGGAUAAUGCAUUGGAAUAUGGAUUGCCAUCUUCUCACACUAUAUACACAGUUUGCUUGUCUAGAUACCUUUUGCAUUGCAUCCUAUCUUAUGCUCAGAAUGAAGAGGCCUAUGUGAAAUUUGCUAGAUUUGCUCUUGUUUGCUUGCUCGUUGGUCUCAUUGGUUUGGUCCUGUUGAUAUCAUUGGUGGGCUUGCUGUUGGUUGGCUGAUCCUUUCCUUUUGGCUUACUGUUCAUGAAUAUGUCGAUAGUUUUGUAGUCUCAGGACAAAAUGCUUGCAAGGUGAGCUUUGGGGCUGUACACGUUUCUACAUUGGUGUGGCUGCUGUUGGGAUUGAAUGCAUGAAUCCCCUUUUUUUUUGGUUUAAGAUUCAAUGUUCAAGCUUUGUGAACCCUUUUUAGGUUAUGAUGACUACUUUGGUUUAGAUUGUUAUUAGCUUACUUUGUGUCUUUUCCAGCUAGCUCACCUUCUGACAAUACUUAAAUAUGAGGGAAGUACAUGCCCUUGUUUUGAAUUGGUUGAAGGAUCGUUUCAUAUGCUUUCAGGGGUGUAAUACUUUCAACUACUUUGUUGGAUUGGAAGGAUCUGUUACCUAGGUGUUUGUUAAUCUUACUGCUCUGUUUACUUAUUUAUUUAUUUUUUGUUGCUCCUACUCAGUCUCAUGCUUUUCUUUUCUUUUUUCAACUUAUUUUGUUUGUGGACUCGUUGCUGCUGAUUUUAUAUAGGUACUUUUUUUUUUUUUCAUUUUAUUUAGCAUAAGUCUCUUUCACUCCUCAAACAAAAAAUAUAACGAUGAAAAACGUUUCUCUGUCUUCUAAUUGAACAUGCAGUCAUCAUGUUGAGUCUUGUAUGAAAAUGGUAUUCGCUUUUGCUGUGUCUUGUAUCUAGUUCUCAGGCAGAGGAUUGAACACUUGGUCUUCUAUCAACAAAACAAAAAGAAACAAAUGUAUUAAUACUCAAAUAGCUAUUUGUUUAGUGACAUGACAGAAAAUUAAUACAUAUACCAAAGUAGAGGUAUUUGCUUAUUCUCUCCCUGUCUGCAUUGCUUUAGAUCAAAAAUGAAACCUUGGUAAGAGUUUAGGAUAACUUAUACAUGCUGAUCUUAUCUCUAAGUAUGAAGGCAACUUAUACAUGCUGAUCUUAUUUCAGUGUUCCAACCUUACAACAAUAUACUAGAUAUAAAGCAGCUACUUAAUUUUUUUUCUUGAACAAUCAAGACUCGUCUAGUUAAUGAUAGAAUACUCUAUAUAGCUCAUUUGUUAAGUCCUAGCUUACAGGUAUAGUAUGGAAUAAUUGUGGUAUGUCCUGCU